Long non-coding RNA from Nothobranchius furzeri (turquoise killifish), 750 nucleotides. RefSeq lists it as uncharacterized. The record is from RefSeq and is a predicted model, not a curated record. Lineage: Eukaryota; Metazoa; Chordata; Actinopteri; Cyprinodontiformes; Nothobranchiidae.
ACUAAGGACGAGGGAGGAUUAAUAACUCAGGGUGAACCAAUGCCUAAAACAAUAAACAAAACACCUCUAACUUCAGAGAAAGACAACUGACCUACAAACUUAAAGGAAAUAACUCACAACCAAAUCUACCUCCCUGACUAACCAAAAUAGGAGAAAACAGGAUGCAAACAUAAAAGGCGGUUCACCCCUACGGAAUCCUCGAAUGGCAGGUAAUAGUUACAAAGCACAAGGGCAUCACACAAACACUGAGCAUAAAGUGGUGGCUGAUUGGAAUGAGUGGAGAAUAAAGAACCCAGCUGCAUCUCAUCAGGUUGCCUUUAACAGCUCUGCUCCAGCUGAUCUACCAAUCCAAAUGUCUCCUGGCCAUCAUCCACCAAUCCUAGGAAGGCACCUGCACACUCAAAGUAACGCUUACAAAAAGAACAGUACAAAAAAUAAAAAUAAAAAUUAUGUUCCUUAUGACCGUGGUCAUAACAGGCUGCUGCCUCCAUGACCCAACUCUGGAUAAGCGGAAGAAAAUGGAUGGAUGGGUGGAUGGACAGAACCUGAAAAUUGCAAGGAAAUGCGAAAUUACUUGAAAUUAUGAAGACCAGGUCAGUUGAAAUGGCAGAGAAACGAAAAACGGCAGACAUCAGGUCGUUUUUAAUGCUCCAGAAUGUCAAGCAAAGUCCAGUCACUUGAGCGCAGGCAGCAAGAUCCUGUCCGACACAGGCACAGAGUCUCAGGUCAGUCUCUUAUAGUUAUAUGUUG